CAGAGUUUCUCAGAAGACCUGAUCCGUUUCUUUGUGUGAGCCUGGGAUUUGUCCCAGUUCUUGCGUCACACACUGGGAGCUGUGGACAAGUGAUACUCAUAGGACGGCUUUAUGAUGUAGUCUGCAGGGUCUUCUGUGUGUCAGAGUUUGAUUGGGAAGUCUGGUCUCAAAUGGACGUCACGUUUCUCAAGCUCGCGUCUACAAACAUCUGCUUCUCAUCUCAUUGUCAUCUCACUCACGCAAGUGACAGUUGGAUGACAUGACCAUAUUUUAAGGAAUAUAAGAUGGAUGAGGAAUGGCAAGCUCUCAGUAUAAAGCAAAGGAAUAACUAGGAUCACCUAAAUAGAGAGGGCGCCGUAUUCAUGAAGAAAUGAAGGCCAUGUGGAGGACUGCCAUCCAAGCAUUUCCUCUCCAUCCACGUGGCUUACAUUGCAAUGUGAAGAGUCCAUUAGCAGAGCUCACAGCAAACUGACAGAGUCAAUAUUAGCAUAGAACACACACAAGGACGGUCAGCCGCACAUGAGGCGGCCCAGUGUGUCUUAUUGAUGCAGUGUAAAUAGAGCGACUGUAAAUGUUAAUACAGCAAAGUUUUUAUUAGUCGUUCAUUCUGUAAUUAUGCCAGUGAGUCUGGCCAGCAACCAAAAGCUUUUGAUUAAUGAUCAUGUUUAAAUGAACUAAUAGCAAUGUGGCAGAAAAGGACAGUUAUGGUCUAUUUGUGGUAAAGAUUGUAAUUUAAUAAGUUUAAGUAAACAUGAAACAGAAAUUUCUUCUUUAUUGUGUCAGUAAAAUGGGGUUCAACAUUUGCUGGUCUCCAUUGAAAUCCAUAGUAUGGAAGAAAACAAAACAAAAAAAACUUUAAGAAAGUCAAUGGGAACAUUAACUGUGUUUGAGGUUGAGUAUUUUUAUUUUUGGAUGAUAUAUCCCUUUAAUAUAUAAAGUCCUGGCAGAAAAUUACCAGUACAUUUUCUGUUUGUCUACAUUUUAUUUUCUUAUGGUGGG
Molecule: long non-coding RNA, 999 nt
Filed under: Carassius auratus (goldfish)
Lineage: Eukaryota; Metazoa; Chordata; Actinopteri; Cypriniformes; Cyprinidae
Description: lncRNA (ENSCARG00000062021.1)
Source: RNAcentral